GACUCAUGUUAUUUAGAAGUGUGUUGUUUAACCUGCAAGCAUUUUGGAAUUAUCCAGCUAUCCUUCUGCUGUUGAUUUUGUUUAAUUCCAUUGUAGCCUAAGGACAGUUAUUAUAUGAUUGUAUUCUUUUUAAAUUGUUAAGGUUUCACAGUUCAGAAUGUGUUCUACGUUCUAUGUUCUAUCUGAGCUAGGGAAGAAUGUGUAUUCUGUUGUUGGAUGAAGUAGUCUACAGAUGUCAGUUAUAUCCAGUUGAGUAAUGGUGUUGUUGAGUUCAACAAUGUCUGUACUGAUUUUCUGCCUGCUAAAUCUGGCCAUUUCUGAUAGAAGGAAUCCUCAGCUGCAUUUUGCAUUAUUUCCAGAGUUCUUGGUUGUAAUCAGUGGAGAGACAGGCUGUGGAAGACUUACCCCAUUUCGAUCAACACCAGGUGAAAAGGGCUGAGUUCAGAGCACUUCUCGACAGAUGAACAUAUGGAGGUUGACAGGAAGGGAACAAAAACUCAUCCAUGUACCAACAGUGGAGGACUCCACCUCCACAGGGACAAAAUCUCCUGUGCUCAGGACCCUUCCAAGUCUUGCCCUAUGUAUCUCUUUAUCUGUUUGUAUCCUUUGAAAUAAACCAGUAAACCAAA
Molecule: long non-coding RNA, 629 nt
Filed under: Homo sapiens (human)
Lineage: Eukaryota; Metazoa; Chordata; Mammalia; Primates; Hominidae
Description: HSALNT0367673
Source: RNAcentral